Non-coding RNA from Caenorhabditis elegans, 272 nucleotides. The record is from Ensembl. Lineage: Eukaryota; Metazoa; Nematoda; Chromadorea; Rhabditida; Rhabditidae.
CACGACGACGAUGUGGACGAUAGAAAACGAAAGACAGGCAGGGGACGUGGAGGCUCCGCCCUAUUUUGCAUAACGUUCUGGCUUGCUAUGGGGUGCCUACUCAGUAUCCCGAGACGAGUCUUGAAGCUCUCUCUGAUUCAUGCGGUCACUCGUCACUUGGCGGUCUGUCUACAGCUAGCUCGUUUCCUAGUCGGAAUGGGAGUGUGGAGCGAGUGAAUGUGUUGGUCGAGGAGAAGCAGCACCAGAGCUCAAGCCUUUUCCGCCGAGCACAC